Molecule: unclassified non-coding RNA, 251 nt
Filed under: uncultured Xylaria
Lineage: Eukaryota; Fungi; Ascomycota; Sordariomycetes; Xylariales; Xylariaceae
Description: partial contains 5.8S ribosomal RNA, internal transcribed spacer 2, and large subunit ribosomal RNA
Rfam family: 5.8S ribosomal RNA (bases 1-53)
Source: RNAcentral
GAACGCACAUUGCGCCCAUUAGUAUUCUAGUGGGCAUGCCUGCUCGAGCGUCAUUUCAACCCUUAAGCCUCUGUUGCUUAGUGUUGGGAGCCUACGGCACCCGUAGCUCCUCAAAGUUAGUGGCGGAGUCGGUUCACACUCUAGACGUAGUAAUUCUUAUCUCGCCUAUCAAUUGGACCGGUCCCCUGCCGUAAAACCCCCCAUUUUUAAAGGUUGACCUCGGAUCAGGUAGGAAUACCCGCUGAACUUAA